CAGAAAUUAGUUUAAAUAAAACAUUAGUUUUGGAUACUAAAAUUUAACUAUUAUAUUACAGA
RNAcentral lists this transfer RNA (62 nucleotides) under Trachelipus rathkii. RNAcentral describes it as "tRNA-Pro". The record is from RNAcentral. Lineage: Eukaryota; Metazoa; Arthropoda; Malacostraca; Isopoda; Trachelipodidae.